AGCAGCCGCGGUAAUUCCAGCUCCAAUAGCGUAUAUUAAAGUUGUUGCAGUUAAAAAGCUCGUAGUUGAAUUUUGGAUUCUGCCAAUUGGUCCAUCUUUUAGAUGAGUACUGGUUGUGUGGGGUCUAUCCGCCUGGUGAUACGUAAUGUCCUUUAUUGGAUGUUUCGGGUAGUCAGGACCUUUACCUUGAAAAAAUUAGAGUGUUUAAAGCAGGCUUAUGCCGGAAUACAUUAGCAUGGAAUAAUAGAAUAGGACGAAGUUGUUUUAUUUGUUGGUUUCUAGGACAACCGUAAUGAUUAAUAGGGAUAGUUGGGGGCAUUAGUAUUCAAUUGUCAGAGGUGAAAUUCUUGGAUUUAUUGAAGACUAACUACUGCGAAAGCAUUUGCCAAGGAUGUUUUCAUUAAUCAAGAACGAAAGUUAGGGGAUCGAAGACGAUCAGAUACCGUCGUAGUCUUAACCAUAAACUAUGCCGACUAGGGAUCGGGCGAUGUUGUUUCCAUGACUCG
RNAcentral lists this ribosomal RNA (506 nucleotides) under uncultured Archaeosporaceae. RNAcentral describes it as "SSU rRNA". It matches the Rfam family "Eukaryotic small subunit ribosomal RNA", at positions 569 to 1078 of the family's 1831-position model. Lineage: Eukaryota; Fungi; Glomeromycota; Glomeromycetes; Archaeosporales; Archaeosporaceae. The record is from RNAcentral.